RNAcentral lists this ribosomal RNA (484 nucleotides) under uncultured bacterium. Its description in RNAcentral is "partial 16S ribosomal RNA". It matches the Rfam family "Bacterial small subunit ribosomal RNA", at positions 30 to 507 of the family's 1533-position model. The record is from RNAcentral.
AUCGAACGCUGGCGGCAGGCCUAACACAUGCAAGUCGAGCGGAUGAAGGGAGCUUGCUCCUGGAUUCAGCGGCGGACGGGUGGGUAAUGCCUAGGAAUCUGCCUGGUAGUGGUGGAUAACGUCCGGAAACGGGCGCUAAUACCGCAUACGUCCUGAGGGAGCAAGUUGGGGAUCUUCGGACCUCACGCUAUCAGAGGAGCCUAGGUCGGAUUAGCUAGUUGGUGGGGUAAAGGCCUACCAAGGCGACGAUCCGUAACUGGUCUGAGAGGAUGAUCAGUCACACUGGAACUGGGACAGGGACAAGACUACUAAGGGAGGGAGCAGAGGGGAAUAUUGGACAGUAGGCGAAAGCAUGGCACAGUGAUGCCGAGUGUGUGAAGAAGGUCUUCGGUUUGUAAAGCACUUUAAGUUGGGAUGAAGGGCAGUAAGUUGAUACCUUGCUGUUUUGACGUUAACAACAGAAUAAGCACCGGCUAACUUCGUG